UACGAAGGGUGCAAACGUUGCUCGGAAUUAUUGGGCGUAAAGCGCACGUAGGCGGCUUAGCAAGUCGGAAGUGAAAUCCCUCGGCUCAACCAAGGAAGUGCUUUCGAAACUGCUGAGCUUGAGUACUUAAGAGGAUCGCGGAAUUCCCGGUGUAGAGGUGAAAUUCGCAGAUAUCGGGAAGAACACCCGUGGCGAAGGCGGUUCUCUGGGACGGUACUGACGCUGAGACGCGAAAGCGUGGGGAGCGAACAGG
This 253-nucleotide ribosomal RNA is filed under the name uncultured bacterium. RNAcentral describes it as "partial 16S ribosomal RNA". It matches the Rfam family "Bacterial small subunit ribosomal RNA", at positions 524 to 776 of the family's 1533-position model. The record is from RNAcentral.